CGGGUGGUAAUGCCGGAUGCUCCAGUUGACCGCAUGGUCCUCUGGGAAAGAUUCAUCGGUAUGGGAUGGGGUCGCGUCCUAUCAGCUUGAUGGCGGGGUAACGGCCCACCAUGGCUUCGACGGGUAGCCGGCCUGAGAGGGCGACCGGCCACAUUGGGACUGAGAUACGGCCCAGACUCCUACGGGAGGCAGCAGUGGGGAAUAUUGCACAAUGGGCGCAAGCCUGAUGCAGCGACGCCGCGUGCGGGAUGACGGCCUUCGGGUUGUAAACCGCUUUUGACUGGGAGCAAGCCCUUCGGGGUGAGUGUACCUUUCGAAUAAGCACCGGCUAACUACGUGCCAGCAGCCGCGGUAAUACGUAGGGUGCAAGCGUUAUCCGGAAUUAUUGGGCGUAAAGGGCUCGUAGGCGGUUCGUCGCGUCCGGUGUGAAAGUCCAUCGCUUAACGGUGGAUCCGCGCCGGGUACGGGCGGGCUUGAGUGCGGUAGGGGAGACUGGAAUUCCCGGUGUAACGGUGGAAUGUGUAGAUAUC
RNAcentral lists this ribosomal RNA (530 nucleotides) under Bifidobacterium adolescentis. RNAcentral describes it as "partial 16S ribosomal RNA". It matches the Rfam family "Bacterial small subunit ribosomal RNA", at positions 157 to 698 of the family's 1533-position model. Lineage: Bacteria; Bacillati; Actinomycetota; Actinomycetes; Bifidobacteriales; Bifidobacteriaceae. The record is from RNAcentral.